GCUGGCGGCGCGCCUAACACAUGCAAGUCGAACGAGAAAGCGGGAGCAAUCUCGCAAGUAAAGUGGCGUACGGGUGAGUAACACGUGGAUGAUCUGCCCUGGAGUGGGGAAUAACGCUGGGAAACCGGCGCUAAUACCGCAUAUUCCCGAGAGGGGAAAGCAGCAAUGCGCUCGAGGAGGAGUCCGCGGCCGAUUAGCUAGUUGGCAGGGUAAAAGCCUACCAAGGCUAUGAUCGGUAGCCGGCCUGAGAGGGCACACGGCCACACUGGCACUGAAACACGGGCCAGACUCCUACGGGAGGCAGCAGUGGGGAAUCUUGCACAAUGGGGGAAACCCUGAUGCAGCGACGCCGCGUGAGCGAUGAAGCCCUUCGGGGUGUAAAGCUCUUUCGGCAGGGAAGAUUAUGACGGUACCUGCAGAAGCAGCUGCGGCUAACUACGUGCCAGCAGCCGCGGUAAUACGUAGGCAGCAAGCGUUGUUCGGAGUUACUGGGCGUAAAGGGUGUGUAGGCGGCCUGUUAAGUUCCGUGUGAAAUCUCCCGGCUCAACCGGGAGGGCGCGCGGAAUACUGACGGGCUAGAGUGCGGGAUGGGAGAGUAGAAUUCCUGGUGUAGCGGUGAAAUGCGUAGAUAUCAGGAGGAAUACCGGUGGUGUAGACGGCUCUCUGGACCGCAACUGACGCUGAGACACGAAAGCGUGGGUAGCAAACAGGAUUAGAUACCCUGGUAGUCCACGCCCUAAACGAUGCAUAUUUGGUGUAGGUCAUUCAGUUGAUCUGUGCCGGAGCUAACGCGUUAAAUAUGCCGCCUGGGGAGUACAGUCGCAAGGCUGAAACUCAAAGGAAUUGACGGGGGCCCGCACAAGCGGGGGAGCAUGUGGUUCAAUUCGACGCAACGCGAAGAACCUUACCUGGGCUCGAACGGCAGGUCAACGAUCGUGGAAACACGGUUACUCCGCAAGGGGGUCCAGUCGAGGUGCUGCAUGGCUGUCGUCAGCUCGUGUCGUGAGAUGNUGGGNUUAGUCCCGCAACGAGCGCAACCCUUGGUCUGGGGUUGCCAUCAUUCAGUUGGNGAACUCGCAGGAGAACGNCAGCGAUUAGCUGAAGGAAGGUGGGAUGACGUCAAGUCCUCAUGGCCUUUAUGUCCAGGGCUACACACGUGCUACAAUGGNCGGUANCAUGCGCUGCUAAGUCGCCAGACGGAGCCAAUCGCA
RNAcentral lists this ribosomal RNA (1211 nucleotides) under uncultured Acidobacteriota bacterium. RNAcentral describes it as "bacterial SSU rRNA". It matches the Rfam family "Bacterial small subunit ribosomal RNA", at positions 35 to 1276 of the family's 1533-position model. The record is from RNAcentral. Lineage: Bacteria; Pseudomonadati; Acidobacteriota.